AAACCAGCACCUCAAGUGGUCAGGAUGAUUAUUGGGCCUAAAGCAUCCGUAGCCGGCUCUGUAAGUUUUCGGUUAAAUCUGUACGCUCAACGUACAGGCUGCCGGAAAUACUGCAGAGCUAGGGAGUGGGAGAGGUAGACGGUACUCGGGAGGAAGGGGUAAAAUCCUUUGAUCUUUCGAUGACCACCUGUGGCGAAGGCGGUCUACCAGAACACGUCCGACGGUGAGGGAUGAAAGCUGGGGGAGCAAACCGGAUUAGAAACCCGGGUAGUCC
RNAcentral lists this ribosomal RNA (274 nucleotides) under uncultured bacterium. RNAcentral describes it as "partial 16S ribosomal RNA". It matches the Rfam family "Archaeal small subunit ribosomal RNA", at positions 473 to 747 of the family's 1478-position model. The record is from RNAcentral.